ACCAAAAGAAUACAGAUGUGAGUAAAUUGCUGACUAAGUCAUUGCACUAUGUACUUGUGAGGCAGCAAAGUUAAAGAUGGCAUUAAAUGAAAAAAUAUAAUUUCAUUAUGGUUUAUAAACAACAACUUUGAAAUAUUUUAGUUGACAAGAUAACAAAGGAUGAAGGACUUCAUUUAAUUUUAACAAGUGGUGAUUGUCAAACAGGGGUUUGUACAUGAAAAUUCAGCAUUGUUGGUAACUAGGGCAGGUGGCAUGAAUCUUUCAAAAUCUAUUAAAAACCUUAGUAAAAGCUCCCACUUUGGUUACCAAUGAAAACCUGUUCAAGUGUUCUACUGGCUCUUAAGCGCAUAUAAUGACUGAUGAUAGGAGUAAAAGACUAAAAUAUCAAGAGAUAAAGUAUAAUUCAUGGUUGCAGCCACUAUUAGAGCUGAACUGAUAUCCUAACAAAUAACCACGGUAAUGAAUUGCACAUUCUUUUAUUUUCCAACAGCAGAGCUUUGGGACAUUCAGUGUAAUGUCCCUCCCUGAUUUAAGGCUUCCUCUCUGAGCUUAAUUAGGCCUAACCAUAUAAACAUCACAUAUUCUCUUCAAAAUAAACCAAUAAUGUGGUUUGAAGAAGUACUUUAGUCAAUCUUUCUCUACUUUAAAAUCAUUAAUAUUGAUGUUUAUUGAAGAAAGCUAGAACUUUAUACAACUCUAUAAUCUAAAUUAAGCUGAAUGUCCCUCUAAAGAGAAAAGCUUUACAGAAGAGACCUAUCACUUGGCACUAGAGUUGUAUAACCACCAAUAAAUGCUAUAUGAGCUGUCUGCUGGAAGGGGAACCAGGCACUUCUUGCUAUCUAUCUAUCUAUCCAUCUAUCCAUCCAUCCAUCCAUCCAUCCAUCCAUCCAUCUAUAUCCAUCCAUCCAUCUGUAUCUAUCCAUCCAUCCACCCAUCCAUCCAUGUCCCUAGCACUUAGAAUGGUGCCUGGCAUACAGCAGACACUCAAUAGAUAUUUGCAGAAGGAAUGAACACAAGAGUGAUCAUUAAAAAGUGAUUGCAAAAGUGAAAGACUAUAGUACUAUACGGCAAAAACUCACACAGCAAACCUCCCUCAGAUAUGACAGCCUUUCCCUUCUCUUUCCAUUUGGUCAUAGGAAAAGCAAACCAAAAAAAAAAAGCAAUUUUAAAGAGUUAGGACACAGACUGGAAGACACUGUAUAGUAUAAAUUCUGGUUGAAGUAAAAGGCCUGGGGCUUUCUGACAAGAGGGGCACCCACCUUGCAUAAAACAAAAAUUUCCUCCACCAGGAUUUUAAAAGCAAGAUUUAGUUAAGUCAUAUAUGCCAACAGCUUAUACCAAAAUGUUCAGGUUUCCUUAAACUUUAUAUUACACCUUCUGUUGACAGGGCUCGUGCUAUACUUGUGUUUUCCAUUCUUCACAAAGCUUUGAUAGUUUUAUUUUCAUAAAAAUAAAAGUACAUGUGCAAGGAUGGUAUUUUCUCAUUUAUUCAACAAACAAUGAAAAACAGCACAAGGCAAGCACUGUAUUAGGCACGAGGGACAGAAUACGGUGACCAGACAGGGUCCCUGGUCUCCUGAGUUUCCCAGGCCAGUACUAGCCACAGAAGCAGGACUUUAUAAAGAGUCACAGCUUAACAAGGGCUCGGACGGAAAAGAAGGGCAGGUCAGUAUGAACACCAGAACCUCGAAAGGCUCCUGCAGGAAAUGGUGCUGAAGCGAGAUGUGCAAAGUGACCAGACACUAACUAGACAAGGAGGGAUGGCUGCAGGGAGAAAGCAGCAUUUCACAGAAGAAACAGCAUACACAAAGGUCAGAAAAGAAGAGGGCUGCUGGCAGGAGGUGGAAGAGAGUCGUGGGCAGGGAAGCAGGGUUCUGGUGAUGCGACAGGCAGGAUGAAGCCAAGCAGGGACACCGGUCUCCACCCUCAGACUCUGCCUCUGUGGUAGGCUGCUGGGGAGUUUGAAGCAGAGAAGACACACGGUCAGAUUUGUGUUUUUAAAAGAUUCCUUUGGCUGCAGUGUAGACACUGGGUAGGAGGAAGGUAAGAGUGGAUUCGAAAAACAAGUUAGGAAGCUAUAUAUAGUCAGUGGACCAGUGACACAUAUCAGCGCCCUAAGCAACUGGCGCAGGGGCCCCACUAGAGAGGGCUGGGGCCAAGAGCAGAGCGGGAGACACGUGACAACUGUGUCCACAAGCAGGAGGACAAGUGCGGAGGGCCGGCAGGAGCUGCUGCAGCGGGAGAACGUGGAGGAAGCUGUGGUUUAAGCUUGGGAAACGCCUAAGAGAUGCUGACGGUGACGACCCCGAGAGGGGACAAAAACUAGACACGUGAACAGAGAAGCAGCAAGGAGUAAGGUUCCUGGCAAGGCAGGAAGAGAGGCUGGGCAGACGGCAGGUUUACAAUAAAACAAAAGAUGAAAAGAGAAAGAGCAUGUGAGAACACAGACAACUGAAAACAGUUCAUCAAAAUUAAGUACUGGAAAAAGAAAACAUAUGUGCUACUAGAGUUAGACAAAAUGCCAACAGAGGGAAAUGAGUACCAUUGCUGGUAAAGGUUACAUGCUGGUAAAGGGACCUCUGUAUUAUUUCUUGCAACUGCCUAUGAAUCUCUGAUUAUUUCAAAAUAGAAAUUUAAGUACAAAACACCUCCCAAAAUUAUGUAUUCAAGGCCUACUCUACAUAGUGAAUACAAAAAAUGUUUACCAAAAAUAUAAGGAAAUAUACGUAGAUAAUAAGCACCAUCCUGGCAGAACAGCUAUAAGGAAUCAUUAAACCAUCAAAUCAUAACUUAAAUGAUACAUUUAUAUAUGUGUGGUGUAAGCAGGAAAAAAGAAUGUUUAAAAAUCUAGUUUGGUUGUUAGUUGACUGGAAUUAAUAAAUGCAUUUCAGCUCCUGGAAUGGAGUUACAGGCAUGGAUGGGGGUACUGCAGUUUGGUUUCAGACACCACAACAAAGCAAAUAAGCAAAAAAGUAAGUCAAGUGAAUUUUUUGGCUUCCCAGUGCAUAUAAAAGUUAUGUUUCCACCACGUACUGUAGUUUACUAAGUAUGCAGUAACUUCAUGUCUAAAAGGAUGUACAUACCUUCAUUAAAAAAUACUUUAUUGCUCAAAAAUGCUAACCAUCAUCUGAGCCUUCAGCAAGUUGUAAUCACAUUACCAAUCACCAUAACAAAUAUAACUAUAAUGAAGUUUCAAAUAUUGCGAGAAUUACCAAAAUGUGAGACAGAGACAUGAAGUGAGCAAAUGCUGUUGGAAAAAUGGCACCAAUAAACUUGUUAGACAUAAGCUUUAAAACACGGUACCUGCGAAGUUCAAUAAAGCGAAGCAUAAUAAAAGAAGCUAUGCCUGUAUGCCUGUACGUAUUUAUCCUCUUAUAAAGCACUUCUUUUUAAAUUAAAAGAACAACAAAAAACAAAACUUAAAUGCCAUACAAACUGAUUUUCAAGUUAUAUGUAAAUUAAAUGAACAAUAUUUAGCAGUUAAGUCUUAAGCUUUAAACUAGAAAAAUGAUUCCUGGCCAAGAUUUUCUUCCGUAAAUGUCACUUUACCAACCAGAGUCAUGAUAACUAAUAUUAAAAUAAUUAAUUUUUUUUCUGUCAUUCACAAAGUGGUUAUAUCUACAGAGUAGCACAGAUGUUUCGUAUUAUUGCCUCUUAGUCAAGACUCUGAGAGCUGAUAUAUUGAAGAAACAGAAUGAACAUAUCCAUGCUGACAGCAACUAUAUAUAUAUAAAUGAAAAUGCAUUUAAAACACCUGAACUUCAAACAGUAUCAGAAUUACUUUUCACUACAUUAGAAUGGAAAUUUACCAAAGUCCAAUACAUUAAAAUAAUAAUUCUUUCACCAUAUCAUCAACUCUAUGUUUUACUAGCUUCUACUUCAAUCUUCCUAAUUUCCAAGGGAGAAAAUACUCCCAUUUAUCACUACAUCUCCUAUCUCAACAAUGACGUGUAAUUCUUCAUAGGAUCUGAACACUGUCCUAUUUAUUACAGGUUAAAAAGAAAUCUAGUGGUAUACUAAGAAUGCUAUAAAUCAAGAAUGAAUUUCAGAUAAACUAAUUUUGGUAAAGAAUGAUUAUGUAAGAAAUUGGAUAACUGGAAAACUCUCAGGCCUUUGAGGUUGUUUCCAGCGUCCUUAACGUCUGCCUGCUGAAACAGCUGCUUUACAUCAUCCUGUACAUCUAGAAAUACCAUUCCUUCUGGGAAACCUUCUUCUUAUAUCCAUUAGAGGAGAACUGAGAGCAUGUCUGCCUUAAACCGACACUGGUCUGAAUCUAAAGUUCCCAUUAUUAGGCUUCACCAGAAUGUAAAGGGAAGAGCACAGGUUUUGGAGCCAGACAAAACUAUGGUUGAAUCCUAACUAUGCCACUUCCCAGCACAGUGGCAUAACGUGGGACCAUGUCCUGAACUUCUCUAAGCCACAUUUUCCUCAUUUGCAAAAUGUCCGUACUAUGUUGUCACAGAAUUAGAUGAAAAUUCAACAAGUUAAUGUAUUUAAAAAACAUAUUAUAUCAGGUUUGGAUGUUAAAUGGUAGCUAGUAUUAUUUACUAUUACAACUGUCUUAGCAUACAAUAACUGACUUUGACAUACCUUAUUUACAUUUUACUGUUUUAUUUACAUAUUUUGUAAAUUUGAUCUGCUUUAGAUUUAUAAAUUCUUAGAAGAUAGGAAUUAUAGCUAACUGGUCUCUCUGGAGCACUUAACAAUCAAGUUCUUAAUAAGGAAAUGUUACUUUCAUAGUUUCCUGUUUAUAUUUCACUUAUAAAAUAGCCAAAUAUGCUUAAUGAAACACAUGUGCCUCCUCAAAUUACUCAGCUUUUUCUCCAACAUGGUGAUUGUUUCAAGGUUUUUAGAAUAACAAUGAAAUCAACUAAAGUGUUAUUAGUCUUUCAUAUUUCAAUAUCUGCCACAAAACUAAGUCAUUAAUUCACAUUUUGAAAACAUUUUUCUCUCACUUUAAGUAGAAUUGGUUAUCAAACAAUGAGUCAGUUCUUUAUCUGCAGGAUCCAGUUCAUACUGAGAAGAGACUGGUACUAACCAGAAAAUGUUCCCCUUCUGAUGUUCCCUUCUGAUAUUUUAAUCAAAUGUAUCUUAUGCUAUGGAUCUUGGUAAUUCAGACUUUCAUAGUUUCUAAUGCCAUAUGUGCUAUAAUUUCUAUCUCUGUUCCUUGUGUCUUCUAUUCCUCUGGCUGCCUUCAGAGUUAUCUCUGUAUCUUUUGUUUCCAGCAGUUGAAUAUAAUGUUUCUAGAUGUGUUCUCUAAGCUUCUUGGAUCUUUGGCUUGAUUUUCAUUAUUCUGCAAAUUCUCAGCCACUACUCCUUUAAAUAAAUAUUUCUUCUCUCGUUAACUCUCUCUUCUUCCCUGUGGAGCUCUACUUGAACAUGUUAUACUGCUUGAUAAUGUCCCAAAGUCCUUGGAAGCUCUGUUUGUCUCCCCCUCCCACUCUUUGUCCCCUUUGUAUUGGAGUUUGGAUAAUUACCACUGACUUAUCUUUAAGAUCACUGAAUUCACUCAUUGUUUCCUCAGGUGUAUCAAGUGCACUGAUGAGCCCCCUCAAAGGAGUUCUUCAUAUAUGAUAGCAAGGCCUAAUUUCUUGCCUUUCUACUUGAGUGUUUCUCAGGUUCCAUCCCUCCUCCCCAUCUGUUUAUACAUUCUGCCCACCUUUUCCAUGAUGUCCUUUAACAGUAUUUAAAUCCUGCUACCUACUCUAAAAUUACUUUAGCCAUUAGUUAUUUUAAAGUCCCUUAGCCUGAUUCUACUGAUUUCUUUAUCUUUACACGAGGAGGCAGUGUUUUGUGCUGUUUCUGCAGCAGCAGCCAGUCACCUCCUGUAGGCCUUCGGCACUGACAAAGGCUCUGCACAGUUUCCCCCACUGCUGCCCUUAUUUCUGAUGAGCACCUGGUGAAGGCUAAUGGAAAAGAACCUUACAUCAGGGCCUUCAACUAUUCCAGACAGAAAGGCCAGCCCACACUUGGCCUUAAAUAAUUUGUUAAAAUGUUACCUGAUGUCUCCUUACCCAUUUGUAUAGCAGCCGGCCUCCCACCUAUGCUUUGCCACAGGUAAGCCAGUCUGCAGGAUGCAGACAACUUGAUGGCCCCAUGAUCUCAGCUAUCUUAUGAAAAGAUGAGAUAAGGAAAAAUCAGAAUUUUAUCUGUGUUUUUCCCCAUAUAGUUAGCUUGGGAGCAGACCUCUUUCCAGCUUCCCACAUCCCCAACAGUUCUCCGUGAGUCAUAUGAUCUGGGCUUUUUGCUUCCAAAGGGGAAAACAAAACAAAACAAAAAAGCAGAAGAGCUUUGCAAAAGGUAAACUACUUCAUUUAGUUAGGAAUCAGAAAUUAAAGAUGAUUAUGAAGGAACUUGCAAUCCAUCAUCAUGUGUGUUAAGACAGUUUAUUUUAAUACUGUCAAGCAGGCAUCUACGCAUAUCAGUUAGUGUAUCAGUAUGAGUAUCAGUUAGUUUGUAUUUUAGCCAAGACACAGUCACUCAAUACGUACUGAUUGCCCACUAUGUGACAGGCACAGCUGACAGAUCAGUGAACGAAACAGACAAAAAUCCCAUUUCUCAAGGAACUCAAAUUCUACAUCUUGUUGUUUUUAUUUUAAAUUACCAUUAGGGGAAAAAACCCACAUUUUUCAUUAUUUCAGUUCCUGUAAGCUUGAGGAAUAAAAGGUCAGAUUUAAAGCACCAUCUCCUUUAGGCUGGCCAAAAGGACCAAACUAUACUAAUUACAAUGCUAUUUACAUUUGCAAUCUUUACUAAUUUUAAGUUCACUUAAGUGGCUUUUUUCUACUUUUAUAUUUAAUUAACAAAUGUCAAAAAACAGGGAAUGAGAGUUAGAUAUGCAUAUAACUCACAUUCAUAUACUUCUAAAGACAAUGAAAUGGUGAAAUACACAAAUAUAUUAUCUCAAUAUAUGCUAAAAAGCACCAACCAGUUCUUAGUAUAAGGUGCCAUAGGAAGAAAAAAGACACAACACCAUCUCCUGCCCUCAAAAGAAUUAAAAUUCCAACAUCUGCUUCAAAGUUUAUGAUAUAUGUUGCAGUUUGGGUAACUUCAGGUUUGGGAAUAUAUUUUCGACUUAUUUGCCCCUCAAAAUUCAGUAACGCAAUUAAGGUAUACUAUGACACUUGAUGGCAAAAAUAACCCUUUGCAAAAUUUGUUCUAUUAAUACUCCAACAAGUUCCCUCCAAAAAAGGUUUAGUAGUGGCAAUAAAAAUUUCAGUCAAUAUUAAAUGCAUGUAUUUAAUAUACAAUUAGUACAUAAUUAAUGGAUGAGGAAGUUAUAGAGAGGGGAGAUGAAGGUGGGAAAAUAAAAUGAGGUCAGAAUUGAGUUCAGGCAUGCUAACAACAUACAUGUCUUAUACUUUCCUUCACUUUGCACAACUGGGCCAUAAAUGUAUCUUUAGUCAGAGAGGGGAACUCAAUGAUAUGCCUAUUCAAAUUGCUCUGAGUACAGGUCUUUUAUGCUUUCAUAGAUCCUUUAUCUGGAAUCCCAUAAUCCAGAGAGGUCUGAAGACUGAAGGUUUUUCACAAAUUUGACACAAAUACAUUUGAUGGCAAAACCUGCCCUGAACAAAUGUGAAAUCUGCAACAUACUUUUUCAACUUUGUGACUAUACUGAAAUAUGCAUUCCUUUGACUACAGAGUACCCUGCCAAAUGCCACUAUGUUUUAAACAUUCAAAUAUACAAAAUAUCAACCAUUUUACUUGUCUAAGAUCCAGAAAAUCCUGAACUCCAAAGCAUCUAAUCCCAAAGUUUUAGAUGGAGAACUAUGAAUCUCUAUGUGACACAAAUUGUGCCUGAGAUAUAAAGUGAAUUUUCCACAUAGAAGAAAACAGACAAAUAAUAAUAAAACUUUUUAUUCAAAGUGUUCCACCAACAGCAUUUUGUACAUCUUCCUGCCGAGGUUUAGAAGUGUGUCAUUAUCAAGGGUUUAAGUAGCUAACUAUGUGUGGAACACUCUUCCUACACUCUUUAUUUUCUAUCUAUGGAAUCCAACUGGGUCUGAAGGUACUUGUCCAUGUGAUGCUGGCUGACUCCCAUGCCUGUGUUUGCUGAGUGCAGGCCCUGCUUUGUGGUAGAAGACACAGCAAUAAAAGCAGGUCAGGUUUGUCCAGGAGAUUUCCAAAAUUAAGUUCCUUUCCUGGAGAUUCACAAUUCAAAUUAGCAUAUUAAAAGUUAUGAGCAGUCCCAGCUUCUAGAAUACAGAAACCCAUUCCACUUCAACACUCAUUUUCCAAAACCAUUUGAGCAUAGCAUGUUCCUACUUUGUAAGACAUCUUUACAUAAGCAGGUGAUUUAGUCUAGAGGACACUAGUUGGGACAUGAUUUGUUAAAGAAACUAAAUGUAAACUUCCACUAAUGAAAGAAAAACUAUUAUAAAUAAAACUUCUUAAGGAAAUGAAUGCACAAAUACAGUUGUAUCAUUAUCACUGAUCUUUAAACUCCUUUCCAAUCCUGAAGAUACACACACUUCUUUGGAAAACUCCUUCUUAGCUCUUUAAGUCCCAUUGGCUCUCUCCUCUCCCCAGGCUGCCUGACUCCCCAGGCUCUCUGGACACUCGCCUCCAGGAUGCCCCAGUUGCUUCCUCAGCCCCCCAGUUUCAGUGCCUCAGUCAGAGUGGUCACUUCUAACUCACACAAGCUGAUGAGUCAAUGAAGGAGAACAACCUAACUUGCUUUUCUUUCCAGCCCGGAAGCAGAUAGGCAGAGCUGCGGAGAGAUGCUCUUCUCCCCACCCCAGUCUCGCAGCGUGCGAGCAGGUCCCGAAGCUCCUUGUGACCUCUCUGCUCCAAACCAUGGCUGCUCUCCGCUGGGCCAUAGCCAGGAGCCACAGCCACCCGCAGACAAUGAGUCCGCACUGUGAAGACCAAACAAUACAGGCCCCAAACCCCACAUUUCUUUCUUGCAAAUUUCUUUUUCCACAGUAUAAAGAGGCCACUUUCUACGUUGCUCUUUUUCAUGUAUUUCCUACUAUCUGUAGUGGUUCAUGGAGUCAUUUAAUUUAAAUACAACAGUGUAUCUAGUUAUCCUGUCAACAAAGCUUAGCAAUCCACAACCCUCACAAACCAGCUUAGCAGAGUUCUUCAGAAAUGCUUCUCUGGGAUAAUCUGUAUCCUUUAUCAAGGGCAGACUAUUUUGAACAAGAUUUGAGAGUAUUAAUACAAAUUUAUUUUAAAAUAAUAUUUAAUGAAUGAACUUUAUAUUUCAGAUAAUUUACACCCUUGCCUGCGUUUCUUUUAUAAAAACGCGUGCAGUUUUUGUUGUCUCUCUAGAAGCCUGCUGGGCCUGAAGCAGCCGUGGUUUGAGACAGGCUGACUCCUGUGCGUACUGAGUGCACAGGCCCUGCUUGGGGAGGAGAGUAAUGAAAAUGAGACCCCUCCUUUAUCAGCUCAUCUUUGCAACCCACUGUGUGCAAGGCCCCUCCUAAGCAGCAGGGUAAUACAAUGAAUCCCUCUUGACCCUGCUGUCAGAAAUGAGAAAAGGAAUGUAUGUGGAAACUAAUGACCAAGGGAAGAUGCCCCAAGUACCACAGAAGAGGUACAGAUAAAAAGCUUCCUCUAAACAGAAGACAGUACUUACUUACAGAGUCUGAAAGGCAACUGUCCUAUUAAUUACAUAUUAGUUAAAACUAAUUGUAACUCUUAUAUUGUUGCGGUGGUGGCAUUUCUAUUUCAAAGAUCCACCUAUAUACAAAAUGUAGAAAGACACUGUAGGUUUUUAUCCCCAACUGAUACAUAGGAAAAUGGUAGAAUUGUUGUUUCUAUAAUUGGAACAUUAUAUGCCCACAAUUAACUAUACUGAUUUAGUUUUACCUAAUUUUAAUAGUUCAGUAUGAAUUUUUCCACAGUGAUCACUGCUCUUUAUUUGAAACAAAACUGCCUGCUUGUAUUGUUUCUAAAGAAUUAAGACUUGACCUUGUGUGAGUACAGUAAUGACAACGCAGCCUGUCUGAUAAUAAAUGCCAAGUUCCCACAAACUACAAAGCCUCAGAGUAGCAGGAAGCCAUGCUGCCCUGCCCCACGGUGCUGCUGGGUGUUGAGCAGCAGUUCCUAUUUCUAGUAUUUAGCUACUUUACUCAUCCUAUAUUCAUGGAUGCAUUCAGUGGUUUUAAUGUUAAUUUCUGGAGCUCCAACCAGACUCAGGCGCAGUCGGCCACGGGGAUGUGAGGCCCUUCAGAGCCUCCUAGGGAGCGGAACCCUCACCCUUCUCUGCACCCAAAGCACACAGCCAUGUUAGAACCUGGUCCCCGGCACUCAUUCAUUCAUUUUUUUAAAGGCUAAAGCACAACCAUGGCCAAAAAUUGAAAUCAAGAACUAAAAAAAUCAACCCUUUCUUUUACCAAGAACGUACAGUCUUGUUUCUUAAUUUAGAAUUCAAAUGAGAAUUGUAAGAACAGUAAUCACCCAACUCUAUGAAGCCGGAAGCAAGCAGAUAACAGCAGCAUCAGCAUGAUCUGGGAGCUUCUUGAAGAAAGGAAAUCUUGGGUGCUCCACACCCACUGAUCAGAAUCUACAUUUCAACCAGAUGCUCAGGUGACUUUACAUACAUUAAAGUUUGAGAUGCCCUGAGUUGGAAAAACAUAAUCAUCACAAUGACUUGGAAAACAAAGUGAGCAAAAUUAAAUUAUCCCAGUUUUAUGAGCAGGACUGUCCACAGGAAAGCAGCACGGUGAGAGAUACGGAAGGAGACAGGACGGCAUCUAACGCUAGGCAACUUGCCAUUUUCUGUUGCUACUCCUUUGCUCUGUGACAGCAGGUAAGUCUCUUCAUAUGUUUUCUCAAUUAUAAAAUGAGGAUAAAAAUACCGCUGCAAAAAAUAUAACAUGAAGAUUCAAUGUGAUAAUAAUUAUUCAAUCAACUUGUGAAAAGUAUUAACUAACUGCAAGAAAUUCAAGUUCCUGCAUGUAACACUUCUGUCUCUCUAAAUGCUGUUGUAGCUGGGGUGACCCCACAUGCAGGUGGGCCUAACAGUCUUGGUGUGAUUAAUAAUAGCACCCCUCUUCCUUCUUAAAAGUGUUCUGGCUUGGGCAAUAGAUUGCAUCAUCACCCUAGUAACAACUAACUUUCCUGAGAGCUUUGGGUGAGUCAAACUCCGUUAGUUGUCCAGAGCCGACGUAAACUGCCUCACCAGAAGAAAGAAGUAGUUUACUGUAUUGUGGACUAAAUACAAGCUGCACUGUUAGCUGAACAUAUGCAGGAACACAAAUAUUAAAAUAAUAAUAGCUUUUAUUAAGAAAGCACAUUUUUGGAGGAUUUUAGAAACCUAAAAAAAUGCAAAUGCUUUAGCAAACUUGGCAUUACUUGCAUUCUCUGAAUGUUUCCCCAUGAGCUUAACUUGUAUGUAACCUCAUAAAUUUGCCAGACAUUUUCUAUCAAUUCACCAUCUCACCAGUAUAAUUUAAAUAAUGUCCUGUUAAAAGUUUUAGUAUAAAUUCUUACAGAGCCAAGUCAUUAUGAUAAAAUAUCUUGUUUUAUUAAUGACCAUUUAGAAAAUUUAUUAUGGUAGAAGCUGCAUAAAUAUUAAAAGUUAAGACAUUCUCUGGUACAAAUCCUUGUUAUGGUAAUAAUUCAAACCUUCCUGAAGCAAAGAAUUCCUACCAUCAAUAUCCCUUGAGAACAUGUUGGAUCUAAUGAUGUAAACUUGUUGAGACACUGUCAUCCAGAACAAGAAAAGGCUUCAGAGGCAGAAAGCCCAGCAACAAAGCUGUCCAGGCUCCGAGUCAGCAGCCUCAGUUCUGCAGCUGGGUCCCACACCACCCCGGGCACUAAACCUCCAUAGGCGUCUGUAAUGGGUAAACCGCUGGACUCAGUGUCUCAAGUAAUCUGUUUUGCUAUUAACCAGUAAUCCAGAUGACACGUGAUCAAUAGAACGUAAACGCUGCCUAGGCCCAAAGAGACAAAAAUCUCAGAUCUAAACCGACAGGAGACAACAUUAUUUUUCACUUACUUGAUUUUUAGUGUAGUAUCCUAACAAACUAAAAUGGUAGGAGAUGAAAGAAUCUUUAGAUAUGCUUACAUAUUAUCACAGACUCACCAAUGGGUCAAAGAAACAGAAAUAUUUUGAAUUUCACAGGGUUCAACAUUAAACAUUUUAAUGUGUGACAGGUGUAAUUUCCUUUCUUUCUUUAAAAAAUUCCAAUAAUACCAUGUUUAUAGUUUGCAUACAUUAUUAAAUUUGACUGACUAGAGUUUUUGAGGUCACUAUGGAGAUAUUAAUUUUUAGUUUCCAAAUUUUUAAUUUUUUCUUUAUAUAAAAGAGCAGAGAAGUCUCAGACGAGUUCAGUGAUUGACCUGAGGUGACCUGCGUGUGGUGGUGGGGCCAGGGUCAGACCCAUCUCUCCCUCCCAGUUCAGGGCUCCUGUCUAGAAACAAUUGAGAAGCACUAAAGCUAAAAUUAAGAAAAGUUUCCAAGUAAGUUAAACCUCCCAAAACUAAUCUAGGUCUAGUUGUACUAUAAUUUUUACCUUCAAUUCUUAUUCACAUCUCCUGAAUGAGAAUGACAGGAGAAGAUCUAUUACAAGUCUGUAUGUCUCCUUGGAAAUAGAUCUUAAGAAAUUUUAGCCGUAAGCUUACUUUUACAAACUAAGGGAACAAACUAAAUCUUACAAUGACUCAGCACUGAACAGUUCUAAAAUGAAGGCUCUAGAAUUUUACUAUUCUACAAGUAACAGAAUGAAAUGGGCCUGUUACUUUGUGAGACAUAUUGUAUAAGAAGUAUAAGACAUUUCCUACCAUACUAAGAGAUUUUUUCACUAACAAAAACUGGAAAAAGAAAACACCUACUAUGUUAUAAUAUUGAUUUUGGCAACACUGACAGAACACUGAUGUGAAACUAAUAGAUAUACUAAUAGAUCACUAAUAGAAACUAAUAGAUCAACCCCCAUGUUACUACUGUGUGACCCUGGCAAAUUAUUUAACCUAACUCAGUUCCUAUGACAUGAGGAUAGGUAUGUACCUACUUCAUUCACUGCUGGAUAGGAUUAAGAUAAAACAUAGAAAAUAAUAAAUGUUAAUUUUAUUAUUUUUUGUUGAAUAUUUUGUGAGAAAGAUAUCUAGAGCAACAAACAUUUUAGUGUGGUAGCCAAUGGACAAAAUUAUUCAAAAAAACGUAGGUUCUCUCAAAAACUGAAUGACUAUAUUUGGUGAUUAGUAAAGUAACUAGGAUUAAAAAAUCAUUAGAAAAAAACAGAUUCUAAGAUGAAGCAUUACAAAGAUUAAGAGGAUAACACAUGAGAAAGAAAGGAAUAGUUCAGUAGGAAGAUAAAACAGCUCUGUAUGUGUGUAUAGACAAUAUAUAGAGCGCGAAUAUGGGUAGAACGAUUUAUAGGGCAUUGAAAAUACUUGUCAUGACACCACGUCAUUAUACAUCGGUCUGAACUUACAGGAUGUAUAACACCAAGAGUGAACUGCAUCAUAAACUAUGGACUGUGGGUGAUGAUGGCAUGUCAGUGUAGGUUCAUCCGCUGUAACAAAAGUCCCAUUCUAGUGGGGGAUGUAGAUAACAGGGAGGUUGCGCGUUUGUAGAUAUGGAGGGGGUAUAUGGAAAACCCCUGUACCCACAAUUCAAUUUUGCUAUGACGCUAAAACUGCUCUAAAUAACGUCAUAAUCAUUUCAAAAGUAGAACUAAUUAGCUCAGUGUCCACCUUAAGAAAGCAGGUGUGGGGUACAGGGGCAAACCAAGAAGGAGGAAGGAGAGAAUAAUAAUAAAAAUAGAAACUAAUGAGCUGAAAGAAACGAAAUAGAGAAGAUAAAGUUGGCAUUAGUUCUUUGCAAAUACUGAAAAAAACUUCUGCCAAGAUAAAUAGAGAAAAAAAUGAGAGAACAAUCAUUAGGAAUGAAAAGGAAAUAACUAUACAUUUAGCAGAAUUUGAAGGACAAAAGAAUGUUAUAAAGAACUUUAUGCCAAUAAACUUGAAAACUUGGAUUAAAUGGAUAAAUUUCUAGUAAAUUACAACUUAGCAAAGCUUCCUUAAGAAUAAAGCCUGAAGACUCCUAUGACUAUUAAGGAAUCAGCCAUUUAAAAAAUCUUCCCACAGAGAAAAUAAUAGACCCAGAACGAUUUUAUAGAUUCAUUCUGACAAAGUUUCAACAAAUAGAUUAUUACAAUGUUAUAAAAGUGCUUGUAAGGAACGGAACAGAAGAAACACUCAACAACUCAUUUUAUGAAAUGGUCUAUACUAACACCAGUAUGAAGAACAAGAGGAGAAAGAAAAGUCACAACCGAAGAAAGCUCAAAAAGAUGCAAAAAUCCUCUAUAUGUGAAAUAUAGCAAACGGAAGCCAACAGUGUAUUGCAAAUAGUAAGUCAGGACCAAGGUUGUUUAAUCCUGAAAUGAAAAGGUGGCUUAACAUUUAACAUUAACCUUCACGACAGUAAGAGAUUAAAGGGAAAGAAUGACCCAAUUACCUGAAAAGACGCACAAAAAAAAUCUAAUGAAAUGAAAUAUCCAUUAAUGAUUUUAAAAAAAGAACUUAGUAAACUAGAAAUAGGAAGGAAUUUCCUUCUCCUGAUAUUUCCACCAAAUCUACAACAAACACCUUUCCUUAUGGUAAAACAUUAGAAACAUUUCCUUUAAACAUCAGAAUAAAGGCAGAAAUGCCCACACCACAGCUUCUAUUCAACUCUGCACUCGAGGUUCUGGUAAGUUGAGGAGGACAAGAAAAAGAAAUUAAAAAAAAAAUGAAUUGGAAAGAAAAACAAAACUGUCACUAUUUGUAGAAGUAAGUGGAUAAAAAAAUGUUAAAAAUUCUAUAGACAAGUUAUUAGAAUUAAUAAGAAAGUUGAGGAAGGUUGCUGAAAAUACAGUCUAUACACAAAAGAGGAAAAUUUGCUCUUUUAAACACUAGAACAAUUAGAAAAUGUAACUUUUUUAAGUGUACCAUUUACAAUAGUAUCAAAAAGGUAGGGCAUCUAGCACUAAUUCUAACCAAAGCUGAGUCUUAGGAAGAAAAUUUUAAAACUAUUAAAAGAUGUUUUAAAAAGACCUAACAAAUGGACAGAAAUGUCACAUUCAUGGAUUAGAAGAUCCAAUAUUCAGAAAUAUUCAUCCUCCCCAAAUUGAUCUAUAGAUUUAAUGCAAUCCCAACCAAACUUAUCUCAGAGUGUUUCAAGAAAAUAGAGAAGUUGGUUCUAAAAAUGUGGUACAUGAAAGAACACAAAGGCCCAAGAAUAGAUGAGAAAUUUCUUAAGAAUAGAGGGAAGAGCUACAGUAAUAAAGACAGCAUGGUACUGAAAUCAGGGCAGACAACUUAAGCAAUGGGAUAAAAGAGAAAUCCCAUAACAGGUUAUUACAUAUAAUGGGUACUUUGUCUAUGACAGAUCACUCAAGAAAGAAUAAACAGUUAUGGGACAAUCAGUUAUCCAUAGGUAAGAAAGGAAAUGGGGUUUCUACCUUGUACCACAACACAAAGAGAAUUUCCAACUUGAUUUAUUAAGACUUAAAGAAAA
Long non-coding RNA from Manis pentadactyla (Chinese pangolin), 15448 nucleotides. RefSeq lists it as uncharacterized. The record is from RefSeq and is a predicted model, not a curated record. The transcript has 2 exons. NCBI's taxonomy places the organism in Eukaryota, Metazoa, Chordata, Mammalia, Pholidota, Manidae.